AUGACCCCCAUUUACAGCCUCAGCAUCCUCCUCCUCCUCUCUCUCAGUGCCUUUUUCAUUGCUCACACCCAUGUCUCCUGGGGAUGGCAGCAGCUCCUUGGAGCCUGCAUGGAGCUCCACACUUUCCUUUAUGGUCUGGAAGUCUCCUGCUGCUGUUCCUGUGCUGCUGUGGAAGCCCUGGAGGUCUCCUGCAGCUCCCCAGGGGCUGCUCCCACCCGUGUGGGGGCUCACGGGUGGGCUCAGGGCGCUGGGCAGGCCCUGGCUGUCCCCUUGCAGUUUGCUGGACAAGGUGCUGCUGUUCCCUCUCUGGAAACACCCCACAUCUAUGGAAUGCUGCCCUUCAGGCCUGGGCUCCAGAGGCUGCAGCUCAGCCCCCUGCCCUGUUUCGGAGAUGAUGCUGGACCAGGGGCUCGUCCUGUCUGUCAUGGUGGUUAUUUCAUUCAGAGUUCGUGGUUCUAUUACGUCUUCUUCAUACUCCUCCUCACUGUGAGGCUGGGUGGCAAAAGCACCUUCAUUUUCCUGGCCAAAAGGAUGCUCAUCCUCAGGGACAAUGGGGCCGAGGAGCUGGUGCAACAUGUGUCUCCCGAACACGGCUCGGCCGGCAGGGCACGGCUGCUGCGCGUCCCUGGGAACGCUGGGCACAGCUGGCACCUCCAGCUGGCCCUCAGGAGCUGCAGGGCUGCCCCCUGCCCCCUGCCAGCCGGGCACAGCCGCGGCGCCCCGCUUCCUGCUGCUCUCCUGCUGCUCCCCGCAAGCUGCCUUGCUGCUCCUAGUCAUGGUCUGCAGGUCUGCUUAACAGAAAAGAGCAUCAGUGAAUGCAUGGAGCAACGAUUCAGCUUAAGUCUGAUUUAUGUGGGGUUUGGGCACAAAGUCCCAGGUGUAAGGAUGGCUGGGAGCUGAACAGGCACAGCUUUGCAAACAUGUGAGCAUGUUCUGCUCUGCCACCCACUGGCAAGGCCAGGACAACAGAAACGCUAACAGAAAAACAGAAGCAUUCAGGAUGAAAUUAAUAAAUUUACAAAUUCUUUAAAAAGCCA
RNAcentral lists this long non-coding RNA (1037 nucleotides) under Junco hyemalis (dark-eyed junco). RNAcentral's name for it is "lncRNA (ENSJHYG00000015637.1)". Lineage: Eukaryota; Metazoa; Chordata; Aves; Passeriformes; Passerellidae. The record is from RNAcentral.